GCCUAGCAAAACAAAACAAAACAAAGACAAACCAUGAAAAAUUUAAGUGAAAAAACACAUAACAUACUAAUACAAUUUGGCAGGAUUUUUAGACCCAUUUUUGUUCUGUAACAACAUCACAACAAUUCAAUCUGUUUAGCACAAAAAGAAAACUGAAAAUUUGGACGGAAGUUUCUCCUGCCCUACUCUCUCAUCAUAUUCGACACGUACAGAACAAAGAGCAAUGCUUUCCUCCAGCUCCAGUGCAACACAAAUGCGGCAGACGACAUUAUUCAUUUGAUCCCAAAAGAAGUGAGACACAAGUAUUAUAACUCUUUCAACUUCCAUUGCUGGUGAGGAAUGCAAGGUGCUCAGAUUUUUUGAAAAACUAUGCAUGGGAAAUUAUUAUGCUGCUUCAGAAAAAGAAGAACCUCAUUUUCCUCCAAAAUUUGAGAUACAUUGUCACUGUGGAUUACAAAACAAUGGCCAAUUGUCCUAUGGUGGCAUCUAGGUUGCCCUCCCAGUGCCACUUAUCUUCUUCUUCUGAUAUAUAGACUCUAUCUAGCUUUGGUGUAUCAAGGACUCCCUUGCAGAAAGCUUGCAUCUGGGGGCAAUGGUUUACAAUUACUUUUUCCAGCGCCGGGAAAAUCAAGGACUGGUAUCCUGCACAAAAGCUUGUAAGGAUUGGCAAAUAAUGAAGUUCCAAAGACUUCAGCUGACUGAAAACAAUCUCAUCUUCCGCCUCGCCUGUCUUAUAAUUGACAAUUUCUGUCAUCAUUCUGCAUUCACUUAUACACAUUCUUGUAAGGUGCAUCAAACUUGCAGCUGUUGAGGGCAUGAUCAAAUUUGUCAAUCCAUCACAAUUUGAUACUUCCAGAGCAGUCAAAAGUUUGAAUGAAACCGAGGAUGGUACUAAAGAUUUCAAGAGGCCACAAUAUGAUAUUUCUAAAGUUUCCAGAUUUUGAAAAAUUAGGCCUAGGCAAGAGUCUUCUUUCCAUAGAUAUUUCAGCCUAGACAGCUUCAAUUUUCUUAACUGUGAGAAAAAGAACUCUGCUAGAAACUCGCUAUGCCAUGUCUCCAUCAUUACACUGUUACCCUCCAAGCUCAGUUCCUCUAAGUUCUGGAAUGUAUCCUUUUCAACCAAGAAUAGAGGAUGUGGAAUUGG
This 1144-nucleotide unclassified non-coding RNA is filed under the name Hevea brasiliensis (rubber tree). Lineage: Eukaryota; Viridiplantae; Streptophyta; Magnoliopsida; Malpighiales; Euphorbiaceae. The record is from RNAcentral.